CCUACGGGUGGCAGCAGUGGGGAAUAUUGGACAAUGGGGGCAACCCUGAUCCAGCCAUGCCGCGUGUGUGAAGAAGGCCCUCGGGUUGGAAAGCACUUUCAGUGAGGAAGAACGCCUGGUGGUUAAUACCCAUCAGGAAAGACAUCACUCACAGAAGAAGCACCGGCUAACUCCGUGCCAGCAGCCGCGGUAAUACGGAGGGUGCGAGCGUUAAUCGGAAUUACUGGGCGUAAAGCGCGCGUAGGUGGCUUGAUAAGCCGGUUGUAAAAGCCCCGGGCUCAACCUGGGAACGGCAUCCGGAACUGUCAAGCUAGAGUGCAGGAGAGGAAGGUAGAAUUCCCGGUGUAGCGGUGAAAUGCGUAGAGAUCGGGAGGAAUACCAGUGGCGAAGGCGGCCUUCUGGACUGACACUGACACUGAGGUGCGAAAGCGUGGGUAGCAAACAGGAUUAGAUACCCGUGUAGUC
Molecule: ribosomal RNA, 465 nt
Filed under: Vreelandella stevensii
Lineage: Bacteria; Pseudomonadati; Pseudomonadota; Gammaproteobacteria; Oceanospirillales; Halomonadaceae
Description: partial 16S ribosomal RNA
Rfam family: Bacterial small subunit ribosomal RNA
Source: RNAcentral